RNAcentral lists this unclassified non-coding RNA (236 nucleotides) under Hevea brasiliensis (rubber tree). The record is from RNAcentral. Lineage: Eukaryota; Viridiplantae; Streptophyta; Magnoliopsida; Malpighiales; Euphorbiaceae.
AAUGUUGCUGGAAAGAAGGUAAGCAUUGUGAAGGUAAAGAGGGCAAUCCAUCAGAUAAUUCCCUAAUCCUCGUGACUGACUUUUCUGUAUUUGUAGUUGUAGAUUACCUAAGGCUUUUACCCUUUUUCUUCUCCUUUUUGUAAGUGAUGAUCAUCUCAGUUAGGUGUGUAUAAUUUUAGAAACAUAUUAUUGCAGGGUUGAGACCAGGAGGUCAUUCCUGAAAUGUAAUCGACAAG